GGAAGAAAGCUUGCUUUCUUUGCUGGCGACCGGCGCACAGGUGAGUAACACGUAUCCAACCUGCCCUUUACUCGGGGAUAGCCUUUCGAAAGAAAGAUUAAUACCCGAUAGCAUAAUGAUUCCGCAUGGUUUCAUUAUUAAAGGAUUCCGGUAAAGGAUGGGGAUGCGUUCCAUUAGGUUGUUGGUGAGGUAACGGCCCACCAAGCCUUCGAUGGAUAGGGGUUCUGAGAGGAAGGUCCCCCACAUUGGAACUGAGACACGGUCCAAACUCCUACGGGAGGCAGCAGUGAGGAAUAUUGGUCGAUGGGCGUUAGCCUGAACCAGCCAAGUAGCGUGAAGGAUGAAGGCUCUAUGGGUCGUAAACUUCUUUUAUAUAAGAAUAAAGUGCAGUAUGUAUACUGUUUUGUAUGUAUUAUAUGAAUAAGGAUCGGCUAACUCCGUGCCAGCAGCCGCGGUAAUACGGAGGAUCCGAGCGUUAUCCGGAUUUAUUGGGUUUAAAGGGAGCGUAGGUGGACUGGUAAGUCAGUUGUGAAAGUUUGCGGCUCAACCGUAAAAUUGCAGUUGAUACUGUCAGUCUUGAGUACAGUAGAGGUGGGCGGAAUUCGUGGUGUAGCGGUGAAAUGCUUAGAUAUCACGAAGAACUCCGAUUGCG
Molecule: ribosomal RNA, 652 nt
Filed under: uncultured Bacteroidales bacterium
Lineage: Bacteria; Pseudomonadati; Bacteroidota; Bacteroidia; Bacteroidales
Description: bacterial SSU rRNA
Rfam family: Bacterial small subunit ribosomal RNA
Source: RNAcentral